CCCUUAGAUGUCCUGGGCCGCACGCGCGCUACACUGAUGCAUUCAACGAGUUUCACUUUGGCCGAGAGGCCUGGGCAAUCUUUUAAACCUGCAUCGUGAUAGGGAUAGAUUAUUGCAAUUAUUAAUCUUGAACGAGGAAUUCCUAGUAAACGCAAAUCAUCAAUUUGCAUUGAUUACGUCCCUGCCCUUUGUACACACCGCCCGUCGCACCUACCGAUUGAAUGGUCCGGUGAAGCCUCGGGAUUGUGGCCAGUUCACUUUAUUGGGAGUUGGCUGUGAGAACUUGUCUAAACCUUAUCAUUUAGAGGAAGGUGAAGUCGUAACA
This 325-nucleotide ribosomal RNA is filed under the name uncultured eukaryote. Its description in RNAcentral is "partial 18S ribosomal RNA". It matches the Rfam family "Eukaryotic small subunit ribosomal RNA", at positions 1470 to 1796 of the family's 1831-position model. The record is from RNAcentral.